UGGGGAAUUUUGCGCAAUGGGCGAAAGCCUGACGCAGCAACGCCGCGUGCGGGAUGAAGGCCUUCGGGUUGUAAACCGCUUUCAGCAGGGAUGAAACUGACAGUACCUGCAGAAGAAGCCCCGGCUAACUACGUGCCAGCAGCCGCGGUAAUACGUAGGGGGCAAGCGUUAUCCGGAUUCAUUGGGCGUAAAGAGCGCGUAGGCGGCUUGUUAAGCGAGAUGUGAAAACCGGGGGCUUAACCCGCGGCCUGCAUCUCGAACUGGCAGGCUUGAGUCUGGUAGAUGAGUGUGGAAUUCCCAGUGUAGCGGUGAAAUGCGCAGAUAUUGGGAGGAACACCAGUGGCGAAGGCGGCACUCUGAGCCACGACUGACGCUGAGGCGCGAAAGCUAGGGGAGCAAACA
This 402-nucleotide ribosomal RNA is filed under the name uncultured bacterium. Its description in RNAcentral is "bacterial SSU rRNA". It matches the Rfam family "Bacterial small subunit ribosomal RNA", at positions 355 to 774 of the family's 1533-position model. The record is from RNAcentral.